Molecule: long non-coding RNA, 719 nt
Organism: Cervus elaphus (red deer)
Lineage: Eukaryota; Metazoa; Chordata; Mammalia; Artiodactyla; Cervidae
Exons: 5
Source: RefSeq, a predicted model, not a curated record
UCAAGCUCCUCUGUCCAUGGAAUUCAUUAAAUUGAAAUUUCACAAGUAAAUGACCUCUCCCCGAGGCUGGACUUCCAUUCCCAGUCAGAACACGUCCCGCCCCAUCAGUUGCGGAGACCCCACAAAAUUAUGAAAUGCCACAUGUGGUUCCCAUUAUAUUAAUAUUUCUGCUGGAGCACAACUUUGGGAUCCUGAGACAACCUUGAGAACAAGGGCGGAAAGGAAUCCAUAAUGAAGAGCUGAAGGUGACAGGAGUUCUCAUCACAUGAACUGAUCCUCAGGAGUCAAGUGUGUGACCGUUAAGAGUAAAGCUUCAACAGCCCAACGGAAGAUCAGAAGAACCAUGGCUUCACUUGUGUCCCACAUCCUGACGACACUUUCACGAAAAUAUAGCCAAAUGGGAAAGCCCAGGGCAGCUGCCUCACUUGCAGCAGGCUUAAAGAAAAUACCACCCAAGCCGCUGGGAUUAUCAUUUUAAUAAAGAAUCCUCACGAGUGCUGAUCAGAGUCACCUCCCAGGACAGAUGCUCUGCAGGAUCAAAUGGGCUUCCAAUGGAGUCUGGAAAACCCGCCUGGUUUCUGUGAUGCUGAAACCUCCACCAAAUGGAAGAAAUUAACCACCUGAGGCCACGAGCAGACAGCCCCCAGACCUCCAGGAGCCGAAGGACUGACAAUGUUACCCAUGCUGUCACCACACCAUCAGCCAGUCAGAGAAGCGUG